RNAcentral lists this ribosomal RNA (592 nucleotides) under Acinetobacter baumannii. Its description in RNAcentral is "partial 23S ribosomal RNA". It matches the Rfam family "Bacterial large subunit ribosomal RNA", at positions 1 to 641 of the family's 2925-position model. The record is from RNAcentral. Lineage: Bacteria; Pseudomonadati; Pseudomonadota; Gammaproteobacteria; Moraxellales; Moraxellaceae. RNAcentral also lists the same sequence under 1 other name.
AGUCAAGUAAUUAAGUGCAUGUGGUGGAUGCCUUGGCAGUCAGAGGCGAUGAAAGACGUGAUAGCCUGCGAAAAGCUCCGGGGAGGCGGCAAAUAUCCUUUGAUCCGGAGAUGUCUGAAUGGGGGAACCCACCUACUUUAAGGUAGGUAUUGCAACAUGAAUACAUAGUGUUGCAAGGCGAACGAGGGGAAGUGAAACAUCUCAGUACCCUUAGGAAAAGAAAUCAAUUGAGAUUCCCUCAGUAGCGGCGAGCGAACGGGGAUCAGCCCAUUAAGUUAUGUGUGUUUUAGUGGAACGCUCUGGGAAGUGCGAACGUAGAGGGUGAUAUUCCCGUACACGAAAGGGCACACAUAAUGAUGACGAGUAGGGCGAGGCACGUGAAACCUUGUCUGAAUAUGGGGGGACCAUCCUCCAAGGCUAAAUACUCCUGACUGACCGAUAGUGAACCAGUACCGUGAGGGAAAGGCGAAAAGAACCCCUGUGAGGGGAGUGAAAUAGAUCCUGAAACCGCAUGCAUACAAGCAGUGGGAGCACCUUCGUGGUGUGACUGCGUACCUUUUGUAUAAUGGGUCAGCGACUUAUAUUCAGUAGC